CACGAACAAUGAAUGUUGUUUUGCAAUAAAACUAAAGUUACAGCUAUAUUUACAUCAUUUUGAAGCGAUAAGGAUGUUAAUUGGGGGACAUAGACAUUAACGUGAGGAUAUAACCAUGACUACUGAAGUCUCUCUCUCAAACUGGAUUGUACGAGGGGAAUGACCAGACAAACCCAGCAUAAAGGAUAUCGAAAUGGGGUCUGCUUCACUCGUCGAUAAGUGCAUUCCUUGUGUUAAAGGGCGGCGAUAUCGAAAAUGAUGACAUCAAGAAAAGAGCAAUCGGUAGCGUGUUAUCGGCUGUUUUGCUGGAACGAUUACCGCCGGCAUAAGAACCACUUAUAACCAAACAGGAUAUGAGGACAAAGUGAAAGUUCUAUCUGGUGUUACAAUCGCCGUCUGCAUAUUGACAGUAGGUGUUAACGUAUUAGGCAUGUGUAUUGUACGCACAUAUGGUAGCAAUGUUGGCGUUCAUAUUCUUGAUGAUCAAAGAGAUGGAGUUGUGAUAAGCUACGGAACUAUUGGCAAAUAUACAACUUUUAUUACACAAAUUGAGGAUGUACAUUCGCAGGAGAGGUUUACCAAUUCAACUUUCCAAACUCUCAAAGAACAAAACAGUCUACUUCAAGAGAACCUGCGACUUCAACAAGAGCUUAUAAAUCGGCAACAGCGGGCGGGAGGAACACAGGUUUGAAUUUAUCCCUCGACCAGACCAACCAUCUUGUCGUCGAGGUGUAUUCCUCACCGUUCCUAAUGCAGUGAGAAUGAUGGAUGCGCUAUCAUAUGAAAACGUUUUCUUUUGAUCGAUGAUCUUUCUUUAAGUUAUUUGUAAGAAUCACCGUGCUGCAUAUUUUGCUCACAUUGUACAGUUCAAAGGCUUACUUUGAGGCUGCGUUUCAACAAUACGAAGUAAGAAGUCUUUAGAAAUGUAUUCUGAUUUUCAUACAUUCAGUAAUAUUAAUAUAUAAACUUUUUCACGGACUUCUAUAUUAAACCACUGAACUAUUGUUUUGUUACCUGCAAAUUAUGUGUACAUGAACUAUGAUACGACAUGAUAGAUAAUAUUUGUUUUGUUUUGUUUAUGAAGAUAUUAUUUAUGACAUCACCGUAACCCACACUUUCUCAUACAUCUUCUUAAACAAGUUAUUUUGUUGAGCAUAUUGAAUGAAACGCAUUCUCGUGCAACACACUUUGCGCUUCAUACUUUUCCAUAAUUAAAUCAUAUGUUUUUACUCGUAUAUUCUAUUUUCAUUUUGUAUGUUAUAUCCUAUUUUUUCAACAUUGAUCGGUGUAUAUGUUUUGUUAUUUUGAAUGCAGUAUAUCACAUUAUAAUUUGUAAGUUUUAGAAUGCGUGUGAUUCAGAUACACUUUCAUACAGGUUUAAUGCCAUUUGAUCAUAUUAUCACUCAAAAGUAAAACUCUCGAUAUAACGGAAAUUAAAGAGAAACCCCAACCUAACUCUUGUUAUAAUGGAAAUUAAAGAGAAACCCCAACCUCACUUUUGUUACAAAGGAAAUUAAAGCGAAACCCGAACCUCACUCUUGGUUUAACGGAAAUUAAAG
Long non-coding RNA from Mya arenaria, 1559 nucleotides. RefSeq lists it as uncharacterized. The transcript has 4 exons. The record is from RefSeq and is a predicted model, not a curated record. Lineage: Eukaryota; Metazoa; Mollusca; Bivalvia; Myida; Myidae.